GAUGAACGCUGGCGGCGUGCUUAACACAUGCAAGUCGAACGGAAAGGCCCCUGCUUUCAGGGGUACUCGAGUGGCGAACGGGUGAGUAACACGUGGGUGAUCUGCCCUGCACUUCGGGAUAAGCUCGGGAAACUGGGUCUAAUACCGGAUAGGACGAUGGUUUGGAUGCCGUUGUGGAAAGUUUUUCGGUGGGGGAUGAGCUCGCGGCCUAUCAGCUUGUUGGUGGGGUAAUGGCCUACCAAGGCGUCGACGGGUAGCCGGCCUGAGAGGGUGUCCGGCCACAUUGGGACUGAGAUACGGCCCAGACUCCUACGGGAGGCAGCAGUGGGGAAUAUUGCACAAUGGGCGCAAGCCUGAUGCAGCAACGCCGCGUGCGGGAUGACGGCCUUCGGGUUGUAAACCCCUUUCGCUAGGGACGAAGCGCAAGUGACGGUAACUGGUAAAGAAGCACCGGCUAACUACGUG
RNAcentral lists this ribosomal RNA (465 nucleotides) under uncultured bacterium. RNAcentral's name for it is "partial 16S ribosomal RNA". It matches the Rfam family "Bacterial small subunit ribosomal RNA", at positions 28 to 507 of the family's 1533-position model. The record is from RNAcentral.